Long non-coding RNA from Scylla paramamosain (green mud crab), 2010 nucleotides. RefSeq lists it as uncharacterized. Lineage: Eukaryota; Metazoa; Arthropoda; Malacostraca; Decapoda; Portunidae. The transcript has 2 exons. The record is from RefSeq and is a predicted model, not a curated record.
UAAUUGAGAUAAUAUAUGACAGAAUGGGAAAUGAAGAAGCAGAAAGAGCCUACAGAGGAACAAAUAAAGAAGCGAACAGGUCAGUAGCACAAGCGAAAGCUAGAGCAAGGAAGACAUGUACGAUAAAUUGGAAAUCAGGGAGGGUGAGAAGAGGAUAUUUGCACUAACAAGACAGAGAGAGAAGUCAACAAAGGAUUUUACGCAUAUCAAGCAGGUUAAAAAUAAGGAAGGAAGAGUUUUAAUUGAUGACAAUGAAAUAAGAGACCGAUGGAAAGAAUAUUUCAAUGCACUUUUGAAUGAGGAAAACCCAAGAGGAGUGUUGGAGGAUGGGGAACCAAAUGACAGGAGAACAAUAGCAAUUUCAAGGGAGGAAGUCAAACAAGCAUUGAGGAAGAUGAACGAUGGGAAGGCAACAGGGCUGGAUAACAUACCUGUAGAGGUGUGGAAAAGUUUAGAAGAGGGACUUGAGUGGCUGUGUUGGUUGUUAAAUAAGAUCUAUGAGAAGGAGAAAAUCCCAAAUGCAUGGAGAUGCAGCGAUAUUGUCCCAAUAUACAAGGAGAAAGGAGACAUUCAGGACUGUAAAAAUUACAGAGAAAUUAAAUUAAUGUCGCAUACAAUGAAACUGUACAAAAGGAUAAUUGAGAAAAGAGUAAGGGGAGAAACACAGGUGGGAGACGAACAAUUUGGAUUUAUGCCGGAGAGAAGUACUACCUGUUACUGUAUGUAAAAAAUUGUAAAGCGUAUGUAUCUCACGUCAAUAUUCCUCGGCAUUCAUAAGGGAAAUGUUCAAUAGUUUUCUAUUUGCAUGAAAACGUGUAAUGUGUGUAAGUAUCAGUAUUUAAUGCUAUAUUAAGCACCGAAGCCGAUGCUCACUUGUUGGUAGAGUGUGGUUAACCCACUGAUCACCUACAGGCGUCACUCACGGCCAAGUCGCGCUCAGGCAAAGACGGUCAGGAUGGUGACCGAGUUCUUACGGUCAUGCCUACCUCAUCAAUAAACGUCAGAGAGAACUGCCUUUCCUCGACACUACGAUGAUGGGUGUGAUCAGUAAAACAGAUUACCUGAAAGCCAAUUGAUGCCCAGCCGGUGUGGCUACAGUAAGAACUCGACCUACAAGCAAGAAAUUGGCUCCAUGUGAAACCGUAGCAAGAGUGAGUCACUGGACGAGGGGACGCUGACAUAAGCCUAUAGGUUGACCUCUGAGGCCCUGGGGUCAGCUCUACCCUUGACAACAUCCACUCCCUUCUACCCACUGUGCCUCGCCACCAUUUUGUUGAACCCAUGGUCACAGGCAAGAAAGUAUAAUAGUAUGUAUGUGCACUGAAUUGAGUAGCCUGAGUGAAAAUUACCCACAGUUAGCUAGUGUUAGAGUGGUAAUUUUAAUUGCUCUUUCAUUGUCUCAGUAUUGACACAAUUAAGUUGUUAGAUAUGUCUGAUAUUGAGGAAAUUAAUGCCGUAAAUGGCAUUAGGGAAGGUGAAGAUGAGCAAAUGGACAAGGGUCAAGCUUGUAAUGAAGAAGCUAGUGUCAGGGAGCGAGUGCCGACCGACUAAGGAAGAGAAUAUCAAUUCAGUGUAACCAAGGGAAGAGCAGAGUCCUGUAAGCGUAAAUGGAGCAGUGUUACCAGCAAAAUUAAGAAAGGACUAAAAAUUGUAAUUAGCCCCUUUGAAUUAGAGCCCAUGUCAAGUGAAGUAAUAGAGGCAUUUCAUCAGUAUUAUGUGGAAUACACAAAACUGGUGGAACUAGAGCCAGAAAAGUCAGAGGAGCUAAAUGAAGAGCUGGAACACAAUCAACGAGUUCACCAUGAAAUAUUAGAAAGUAUAGAAUGUAAAAGAAAAGAGUUAAAGAAUGACAAAGGAUCAAUUUGUUCUAGCAAACGGUCUAGGCCAGUGGUUCCCAAACUAGGGGGCGCGCCCCCCUAGGAGGGCGCGAGGAGGAUACAAGGGGGGCGUGAAUUCAUCUGCUCAAAAUUAUUUGUUUAAUUAGAAUAAUAAAAUCAUUCAAAGAACAAA